GCAACACACACAGGGCAGCAACACGUCCGCAUGGAACGGCGGCCCCUGCCCCAAUGCCGGCAGAGGACACGCCGUCAGGAUGGGUGGGAACGGAGGCCCCUCGCGCGGGCCUCACCCAGAAGGGCACCCCUGAGACGCGACAUAUUGCCCGACCCGCCGGCCGAAAAGCACCCCAAGCUUGAAGGGAAGAAGCUGCCAUGCCGAGGUAACGUCUAUAUGCAACAUGGGAUUCAAACCCAUGACCCCAAGAUCAGGAGUCAGAUCCUCUAUCAACUGAGCCAGCCAGGUGCCCCUCUCAUCUCCACUUGACUGUCCAGUUCGGCACCCACCAACCACGUGAUGGUCAUAGAGCUCUUGAAAUUAUAGAUACACCGAACUGAGAUAUGCUGGGUUUGUGGCAGAUAGAAGAAUGGCCCUCCAAAGAUGUUCAAGUUUUAAUCCCCAAAACCUAGGCCUGGAACACAGAUGUGGCCACGAGAGCCGGCCCCAAACAUGCCAACAAUGAGUUGGUGGCACACUAGGAUGAAAGGAACCUGGGUCCAGGGUUGAACCAGUGAAGCAGAGCUGCUUCCCCAUCCCGGACAUCCUCCUUACUGGACUACUGAGUGACAGAGAAAUUUCUUGUCGAGUCACUGUCUUCUGGGGUCUUUUUGUUAUUGAGCAUAACCUGCUCCCUAACAGGAGAGGAAAGGAAAGAUAGUGUUAGGAUUUCUAAUAGAAUUCCCGACUUGGUCAGAAAAGGCUAAGGAGCUAGGAAAGGCCGACGGAACAACUGUCUGUCUUAAUGAUUACAGCUGCAUGAGGCUGGGGCUGGCAGAUAACAAGAUAAGCAAUUAUGCAGCCUUGUCUCCAGACAGAUAGGGCAAAGCCCCUUGAGAACUAUAAACUCCUACCCGGUUCUGGGAGCCUAGUUCAUCCAGAGCAGGACAGCAGCCGGCAAUCCUCUCCUGGACGUCUUCUUUGUACCCUGCCUUGCAGACCUGUGUCCGCUGUACUCUUCAAAAGCUGGCUCCAACAAGCUCCACAUGAAGACUUCAUGAAAAAACCCCAUUUAGUCGUUUUGUGUUAAUUAGGUUUACAAAAGAAAAAUAUUAUUUAUAAUUGCCUUCUAUUUCCUGAAGAGGGAAGGUCCUGUAACUGGAAGAACUUGCUGUUUUGCUGAACGUGGUCAUUCAUUGGGCACAGGUUUGGAUGUAGAAACUAGGAUGAAAUGCAUUCCUCUGAAUAAUGAAGGGUUGAGGAGUCUACAUAGGGCUGGUGGGGGGGCAGGAAAGCUGGAGGCUGGGAGGUAGGAUGGGGUAGGGGAUGGGAAGAGAUCCCUGUGGCAGAAGCGGAGAGUGUGUACUCUGGAGAAAGAGGUGUGUUGUAGCGGGGUUCCAGCUGCUACAGCCCACGUGACAUAAAUCACGUCUCCCCUUCAGCAAAUUCUAUCUUGUUCACUAAGAUGCUGGUAGGAGAGGGCAUAAGGGGUGUGAGCUUGAAUAAGAGGAGGAGGGGAAAACUGACACCUGGAUUACAUACAGCACAGAGAGAAGAAACAAGAGCACAGAAAGUCAGAGUCAAUGCCAAUGAUGAACAGUUAUAGAAUUGCAGACCCCUUCUGUUAGUUAUUAUUUCUAUAAUUCGAAAUUAUGUGUACUGGACUGUCUUAAUCUGAGUUACUAUUCACCCAGUAGCUACCCAAUGCCCAUUACUGGAAUAAUCAUCACUAGCACAUAUUCAUCACUUAUGAAAAUUCAGAAACAGCGUUCUUCUAGCUGAGGGUAGGCUGAAUUUAAGGAAGGCACCAGACAGGAACUGUAUUUGAGCUGGGACUUGAAGAAUGGACAGGAAUUGGUUAUGCAAAGUCUUCUCAGAGGAAGGGAACAGCACGGAUAAUCUGACCAAAGCCAAAGUCAUGCAUUUUUUCCACAUAUACUUAGCAACGUGCACUGUGUGCCAGGCACUAAGCAAGGUCCCAGGGAGGUGAAGAUGAAUUUGGCUUCACAGGCUUCUGUUAAUAUAUCCUGCUGUUUUU
Neofelis nebulosa (Clouded leopard) is the source of this 2017-nucleotide long non-coding RNA. RefSeq lists it as uncharacterized. The transcript has 5 exons. The record is from RefSeq and is a predicted model, not a curated record. Lineage: Eukaryota; Metazoa; Chordata; Mammalia; Carnivora; Felidae.